Molecule: non-coding RNA, 333 nt
Organism: Vicia faba (fava bean)
Lineage: Eukaryota; Viridiplantae; Streptophyta; Magnoliopsida; Fabales; Fabaceae
Source: the annotation of a GenBank genome assembly
AUGAAAUUUUUUCUUAAAUCUUAUUCUAAAAUACAUAUUGUCAAAAAACAACUUCAUGACGAAUUCCUCUUCAAGCUUUCAAGUAUUGCUUUACAUACACACACCUUAAACCAGAUCAAGCUUUGUUACACAAGCUUUGUUAAACACCUUAAAAUAUCCAUCAUCAUCAUGCUCCAUCAUCUUCUUCAAUAUGUCGUCACUUUCAACAUUCUUCACACAUCAACGAUUAUCUUUCAUCUCGGCACAUCGCAAAACUUCUUCCACUACAACAUUAACAACAUCGUCCAUUAUCAUCAUCGCAUCGACGCAUUCGUCAACUUUUUGAAGGAAUAA